This 275-nucleotide ribosomal RNA is filed under the name uncultured Hymenobacter sp. RNAcentral's name for it is "partial 16S ribosomal RNA". It matches the Rfam family "Bacterial small subunit ribosomal RNA", at positions 338 to 611 of the family's 1533-position model. Lineage: Bacteria; Pseudomonadati; Bacteroidota; Cytophagia; Cytophagales; Hymenobacteraceae. The record is from RNAcentral.
CCUACGGGUGGCUGCAGUAGGGAAUAUUGGGCAAUGGGCGAGAGCCUGACCCAGCCAUGCCGCGUGCCGGAUGAAGGCCUUCUGGGUUGUAAACGGCUUUUCUCAGGGAAGAAAACGCCUCUGCGGAGGACACUGACGGUACCUGAGGAAGAAGCACCGGCUAACUCCGUGCCAGCAGCCGCGGUAAUACGGAGGGUGCAAGCGUUGUCCGGAUUUAUUGGGUUUAAAGGGUGCGUAGGCGGCUUGGUAAGUCCGGGGUGAAAGCCCACUGCUCA